UGAACGCCUCUAAGUCAGAAUCCGUGCUAGAAACGAUGAUGUUGGUCCCGCACAUGUUAGAUGUGUCAAAAUAGAGCGCAAGCUCGUGAACCAUACCUGACGGUCCUGCCCGUCCUGGCGGAAAUGCCGGGGCGGUCUUCCGUGAAUCGAAAUUUCAAUAUGCGCGGGGGUGAAUCCUUUGCAGACGACUUGAAUGGGAACGGGGUGCUGUAAGCAGUAGAGUAGUCUUGUUACUACGAUCUGCUGAGGCUAAGCCCUUGUUCUAUAGAUUUGUUCAAC
RNAcentral lists this ribosomal RNA (279 nucleotides) under Phaffia rhodozyma. Its description in RNAcentral is "partial 26S ribosomal RNA". It matches the Rfam family "Eukaryotic large subunit ribosomal RNA", at positions 3121 to 3401 of the family's 3401-position model. Lineage: Eukaryota; Fungi; Basidiomycota; Tremellomycetes; Cystofilobasidiales; Mrakiaceae. The record is from RNAcentral.